RNAcentral lists this transfer RNA (74 nucleotides) under Planctomycetota bacterium. RNAcentral describes it as "tRNA-His". It matches the Rfam family "tRNA". From Rfam's summary of the family: Transfer RNA (tRNA) molecules are approximately 80 nucleotides in length. Their secondary structure includes four short double-helical elements and three loops (D, anti-codon, and T loops). The record is from RNAcentral. Lineage: Bacteria; Pseudomonadati; Planctomycetota. RNAcentral also lists the same sequence under 1 other name.
GCCGGUGUAGCUCAGUUGGCUAGAGCGCCUGACUGUGGAUCAGGAGGCCUCGGGUUCGAGUCCCGACAUCGGUA